This 2656-nucleotide ribosomal RNA is filed under the name Escherichia coli O25b:H4-ST131. Its description in RNAcentral is "partial 23S ribosomal RNA". It matches the Rfam family "Bacterial large subunit ribosomal RNA". Lineage: Bacteria; Pseudomonadati; Pseudomonadota; Gammaproteobacteria; Enterobacterales; Enterobacteriaceae. The record is from RNAcentral.
GAGGAGCCCAGAGCCUGAAUCAGUGUGUGUGUUAGUGGAAGCGUCUGGAAAGGCGCGCGAUACAGGGUGACAGCCCCGUACACAAAAAUGCACAUAUUGUGAGCUCGAUGAGUAGGGCGGGACACGUGGUAUCCUGUCUGAAUAUGGGGGGACCAUCCUCCAAGGCUAAAUACUCCUGACUGACCGAUAGUGAACCAGUACCGUGAGGGAAAGGCGAAAAGAACCCCGGCGAGGGGAGUGAAAAAGAACCUGAAACCGUGUACGUACAAGCAGUGGGAGCCUCUUAAUGGGGUGACUGCGUACCUUUUGUAUAAUGGGUCAGCGACUUAUAUUCUGUAGCAAGGUUAACCGAAUAGGGGAGCCGAAGGGAAACCGAGUCUUAACUGGGCGUUAAGUUGCAGGGUAUAGACCCGAAACCCGGUGAUCUAGCCAUGGGCAGGUUGAAGGUUGGGUAACACUAACUGGAGGACCGAACCGACUAAUGUUGAAAAAUUAGCGGAUGACUUGUGGCUGGGGGUGAAAGGCCAAUCAAACCGGGAGAUAGCUGGUUCUCCCCGAAAGCUAUUUAGGUAGCGCCUCGUGAAUUCAUCUCCGGGGGUAGAGCACUGUUUCGGCAAGGGGGUCAUCCCGACUUACCAACCCGAUGCAAACUGCGAAUACCGGAGAAUGUUAUCACGGGAGACACACGGCGGGUGCUAACGUCCGUCGUGAAGAGGGAAACAACCCAGACCGCCAGCUAAGGUCCCAAAGUCAUGGUUAAGUGGGAAACGAUGUGGGAAGGCCCAGACAGCCAGGAUGUUGGCUUAGAAGCAGCCAUCAUUUAAAGAAAGCGUAAUAGCUCACUGGUCGAGUCGGCCUGCGCGGAAGAUGUAACGGGGCUAAACCAUGCACCGAAGCUGCGGCAGCGACACUAUGUGUUGUUGGGUAGGGGAGCGUUCUGUAAGCCUGUGAAGGUGGCCUGUGAGGGUUGCUGGAGGUAUCAGAAGUGCGAAUGCUGACAUAAGUAACGAUAAAGCGGGUGAAAAGCCCGCUCGCCGGAAGACCAAGGGUUCCUGUCCAACGUUAAUCGGGGCAGGGUGAGUCGACCCCUAAGGCGAGGCCGAAAGGCGUAGUCGAUGGGAAACAGGUUAAUAUUCCUGUACUUGGUGUUACUGCGAAGGGGGGACGGAGAAGGCUAUGUUGGCCGGGCGACGGUUGUCCCGGUUUAAGCGUGUAGGCUGGUUUUCCAGGCAAAUCCGGAAAAUCAAGGCUGAGGCGUGAUGACGAGGCACUACGGUGCUGAAGCGACAAAUGCCCUGCUUCCAGGAAAAGCCUCUAAGCAUCAGGUAACAUCAAAUCGUACCCCAAACCGACACAGGUGGUCAGGUAGAGAAUACCAAGGCGCUUGAGAGAACUCGGGUGAAGGAACUAGGCAAAAUGGUGCCGUAACUUCGGGAGAAGGCACGCUGAUAUGUAGGUGAAGCGACUUGCUCGUGGAGCUGAAAUCAGUCGAAGAUACCAGCUGGCUGCAACUGUUUAUUAAAAACACAGCACUGUGCAAACACGAAAGUGGACGUAUACGGUGUGACGCCUGCCCGGUGCCGGAAGGUUAAUUGAUGGGGUUAGCGGUAACGCGAAGCUCUUGAUCGAAGCCCCGGUAAACGGCGGCCGUAACUAUAACGGUCCUAAGGUAGCGAAAUUCCUUGUCGGGUAAGUUCCGACCUGCACGAAUGGCGUAAUGAUGGCCAGGCUGUCUCCACCCGAGACUCAGUGAAAUUGAACUCGCUGUGAAGAUGCAGUGUACCCGCGGCAAGACGGAAAGACCCCGUGAACCUUUACUAUAGCUUGACACUGAACAUUGAGCCUUGAUGUGUAGGAUAGGUGGGAGGCUUUGAAGUGUGGACGCCAGUCUGCAUGGAGCCGACCUUGAAAUACCACCCUUUAAUGUUUGAUGUUCUAACGUGGGCCCCUUACCGGGGUUGCGGACAGUGUCUGGUGGGUAGUUUGACUGGGGCGGUCUCCUCCUAAAGAGUAACGGAGGAGCACGAAGGUUGGCUAAUCCUGGUCGGACAUCAGGAGGUUAGUGCAAUGGCAUAAGCCAGCUUGACUGCGAGCGUGACGGCGCGAGCAGGUGCGAAAGCAGGUCAUAGUGAUCCGGUGGUUCUGAAUGGAAGGGCCAUCGCUCAACGGAUAAAAGGUACUCCGGGGAUAACAGGCUGAUACCGCCCAAGAGUUCAUAUCGACGGCGGUGUUUGGCACCUCGAUGUCGGCUCAUCACAUCCUGGGGCUGAAGUAGGUCCCAAGGGUAUGGCUGUUCGCCAUUUAAAGUGGUACGCGAGCUGGGUUUAGAACGUCGUGAGACAGUUCGGUCCCUAUCUGCCGUGGGCGCUGGAGAACUGAGGGGGGCUGCUCCUAGUACGAGAGGACCGGAGUGGACGCAUCACUGGUGUUCGGGUUGUCAUGCCAAUGGCACUGCCCGGUAGCUAAAUGCGGAAGAGAUAAGUGCUGAAAGCAUCUAAGCACGAAACUUGCCCCGAGAUGAGUUCUCCCUGACUCCUUGAGAGUCCUGAAGGAACGUUGAAGACGACGACGUUGAUAGGCCGGGUGUGUAAGCGCAGCGAUGCGUUGAGCUAACCGGUACUAAUGAACCGUGAGGCUUAACCUUACAACGCCGAAG